Non-coding RNA from Ceratotherium simum simum (southern white rhinoceros), 271 nucleotides. NCBI's taxonomy places the organism in Eukaryota, Metazoa, Chordata, Mammalia, Perissodactyla, Rhinocerotidae. The record is from RefSeq and is a predicted model, not a curated record.
CCAGUGCUUCCUCCAGACAUAACUGUCUUUGGCCCAAAGCACCACCUGCCCUAUGCUCCCCAGGUAGACAAACAGGCACAAAGCAAGCAAAUCACGGGCAGGGAUCUGUGGGCACACACCCUUCUUAGGCUCCUUAAUCUUGAGAACAAAAAGCUCACCUGGAAAAAAGGAACACAUCAAUUUGGCACCAUCUGGUCACUAAAAGAAUUGCAUCCUUGGAGGCAAGUAGGGGCUCUGAUAAACCCCACAAAGCAUUGUCCUCUAACUUGCA